Molecule: long non-coding RNA, 347 nt
Filed under: Prunus persica (peach)
Lineage: Eukaryota; Viridiplantae; Streptophyta; Magnoliopsida; Rosales; Rosaceae
Description: long non-coding RNA (PPER_LNC004393)
Source: RNAcentral
UGGAAGCUAGACUGUCGUGAAGAGAAGCCAUGUCUAAAUUAACUCUAAAGAUUGGUUGAGUUUUAUGGGAAAGCUUGUUAUUGGAUGUAUAAAAACUCUAGUGCUGGAAUGAAGAAGAAUAAAAAUCUGCUAUGUUCUAAUCGUACAAAAAUAUCUGCUCUGUUCUCGUGAGCAUGUCGUGAAGAGAAGUGACUAGACGGAGUUGGUCUAGUAGUUUCUUUAAUUCCCAUUUUGCAACACCCUUAUUCUCAUACUUCUUGGUAAUGACCAUGUUAACAACACCACCAUAAGCUUGUGUCCUAUUCUCAAGAAUAACGAUUGUAAUCAGGUCAUCCAUUGUCCAAUCC